AUACCAUGAUGUGAGCACUUCAGGAGUAAUUCCUUAAACCUUUCCCAAGCAUCAUACAACAAUUCUCCAUCUAGCUAAUGGAAGUUAUUAAUUUCUCCUCGAUAAU
Small nucleolar RNA from Humulus lupulus (European hop), 106 nucleotides. The record is from RefSeq and is a predicted model, not a curated record. NCBI's taxonomy places the organism in Eukaryota, Viridiplantae, Streptophyta, Magnoliopsida, Rosales, Cannabaceae.